AUUGAACGCUGGCGGCAUGCUUUACACAUGCAAGUCGAACGGUAACGCGGGCUUCGGCCUGGCGACGAGUGGCGAACGGGUGAGUAACACAUCGGAACGUGUCCUGGAGGUGGGGGAUAGCCCGGCGAAAGCCGGAUUAAUACCGCAUACGCUCUGAGGAGGAAAGCGGGGGACCUUCGGGCCUCGCGCUGCAGGAGCGGCCGAUGCCGGAUUAGCUUGUUGGUGGGGUAAAGGCCUAUCAAGGCGACGAUCCGUAGCUGGUCUGAGAGGAUGAUCAGCCACACUGGAACUGAGACACGGUCCAG
RNAcentral lists this ribosomal RNA (305 nucleotides) under uncultured bacterium. RNAcentral's name for it is "bacterial SSU rRNA". It matches the Rfam family "Bacterial small subunit ribosomal RNA", at positions 30 to 334 of the family's 1533-position model. The record is from RNAcentral.